GGAAGGGGCAUCUCUAGUCCUGUCUCUUAUAGAAGAAAAGCAAAACCUCUUCCAGAGGGCCUCCAGAAGACAUCCACGCCUGGUUCUUUGGCCCACCUCAACCAAGAUGGUGACCGCGCCUGGGAGAACCUUCCUGUCAUCGUCACCGUCCACCUCCUCAUCAAACAGCAACUGACUCUCUUGAGGGAUGCUGUGGAGAGAAUACACUAUCUGAAACCUGAGGAGCUGGAAAUGAGUGUCCUCAAGUAGUCCUCCCCUCCCCACACAUAUAAACUUCAGACUUUACAUGCGAUAGAGCAAAUGGCUGGGAUUCUAGACUCUUCUAUUCUUUCCUGUGUGUAAGUCAGAUUCUCUCUGUGCUUCAGUUUACUUAUUACAACCAGAAGGAUAAUAGCCUUCAUAUUAAUAGGGUUGAUAUAGAGGUUGCUCUAUUUAAGUCAAAUAUUGCCUUUAUCUUAUCAUAGAUUUUAUUAUACUAAUUAAUAAAUUAUAUUACCUUAUUAAAAAUCUGGCUUCCAAAAUACAUCUAUGAAAAUGGCUCCAUCUAGACAAUGGAAUAUUACUUAUCACCAAAAAGAAAUGAACCAUCAAACCAUGAAAAACAUGGAGGAAACUUAAAUGCGCUGCUAAGUGAAAGAAACCAAUCUGGAAAGACCACACGCUGUACGAUUCCAACUACAUGACAUUCUGGAAAAGGCAAAACUAUGGAGAAAGUAAAAGUUCAGUGGCUGCCAGGGGUUAGCGGGGCGGGAGGAAUGAAUAUGGGGGGCACAGAGGAUUUUUAGGGCAGUGGAACUAUUGUGUGUGACAAUACGAUGGUGGACACACGCCAUUCUCCAUUUGUCAAAAUCCAUGGUAUGUUCCAACGCCAAGAGUGAACCCCAAUGUGAAGAUGGACUUUGGGUGAUAAUGACGUGUCAUGUAGGUUCAUCAAUGUCAGACAUCCCACUUUGCUGGGGGAUGUUGAUAGUGAGGGAGGCUGACAUGUGGGGUAGCAGGGGGUUCUGGGAAAUCUCUGUACAUUCCACUCAACUUUGCUGUGAACCUAAAACUGCUCUAAAAAAUAAAGUCUAUUAAUAUAUAUGUAUGGAAAUGGUUAAUAGAGAGGCCAGGUACAUUUAUUCUUAGAAGUCUAGCCCAUUUCAUCCCCAAGGUCUGCCAACAAAUUCGUCCUCCAUAUUUGACAUGGACGUCAUGUCAGGCGGACAGAGAACAGCACCAGUAUUCUUCCAGGAAAGACAUUUUCUCAGGCAACUUCACCUUCCUCUGCUCACAUCUCCUUCCAGGCCGCGCGGGGCUCUGACGCUCACCCUGUGCACACAGAACAUUGCCCGGUCAGCAGUAUACACCGUCCCUUAGACACAAGGAGUAUUAUUUAGUCUAGAAACUCUCAAAGGAAAUAUCCGCUUGCACGUGAAAAAUCUCUGGAAUUUCUCUGUUCCUCUCUGUCCGAGGUCCCCGUAUCUGUGAAACCGCCUUGGAAAAGCCUCUACACACAAGCAAUGCCUUGUUCCUGGCCAACUACCACAGGCCUGCUCCAGCACUCCUGUCCCUGAGGCUCCCAUCCCUCUGAGACUGGCUGUGCCCGGGAGAAAGAGGAGGAGGAGGAAGAGGAGGAGGACUCUCCGGAGAUCAGAAGUGAGAAGUUUUACACAACCGGGGAAAUGGAGGAAAAACCCGAGUCUUAAAGCCCCAGUCGUUGCCUAUCUGAGCCUCACCACUACUCACUCCAAAUUAAUGCAAGGAAGAUUUUGACCUUGAGGGUCGGGUUGAACCAGACUAGCACGGAAAAGGGAAGGUGGAAAAGAAUCUGAGGGAAAGAGGGUACCCUUCGGAAAACAAGGAAUAUUCAAGUACCAGGUGCGAAAGUUUUAAAUAGAAACCCGCUUACAUUGCACUUGGAGUAACAACAGCUGGCUGGAGGUCCUGGGGCUCCUCAGAAGACGAAGAAUUUUUCCGGGACAGUCUCAACAUCACGUGAAGCCAUUGUAGCAAAGGCUACAGCUCAGUGGCCCCCUGUCUAUGCAUCUCAAAUUGCGAGCUUAGGGAUUUAUUUUCUAACUUGUACACUAAACCUCUCACAUUCCACCCGCACACAAUGACUCUGUUUUUCAAAAUGCUGUCAUACAUGGGAAUUUUAUGACAUCAAACCCUUAAAAAUGUGGAAACUUUGGUUUCAAAAUACUUAAUAGGGGAAAAUAAUAAACCCCUUGAUUCACAGUUUCUUUGCUUGCUUACGGUUCGUUUCUGACACUGUGACUGGCGCGUGUUUGGGAGGCCGGGUUUCGGAGGCAUAAUCAAGUAUUCAUAUAUGCCUGGUCUUGGCACCGCAGAACGCUCCCUCUAAUCUGGAAAUAUUUUCCCUUCAGACAGGAAUAGAGAGGUUACAUUUGGGUCACUAGCAAUCUCACAAAAGGCUUUUCAAACGAGAUGAAAGAAAAGAAGUUCUGAUUUGUUGGGAGAAAUCGGAGAGCUUUCCAACUCGAGGGAUGUGGUGAGCGUCCAGGAGCGCGUCCAGGAGCGGCAUCUCUGGGGUGGGAAGCCGGGAGCACCCCCGACGGAUGGGCUGAGCGAGAAGGACAGGGUUACAGCCGGCGGAGGAGGCGAUGGAGCCCCUGCUUCCUCCAGGUGUCCCUUACGCAGACUUUCCAGGCAGGCUGUUGGCUGCAGGCGGCCGUCCCUCUUCCUGUGGCUUGGGCAUCAGCUUUCCAGCUCUCUCUGGAAAGCCUGUGUAAUGGCCGCCUGCCUGCAUGCGCUGCCUCGCCCACGACCCCAACAGUUAAACAGCUCUGUUCACAACCAGGGGAGGGUGACAACAUUUCAGAUGCAUUUCCUCCAGGCAGGACGAGUUGGCCCCAGCGGAGCGUACACCUGCGUUCCUCAAUCAUAGGAGGCUCUGUCUUUCCUCUCGCAUGACCCCGCUUUCCUACGUCUGUUGGGAAAGCAGAAUAUUUAGAAUCAAAGGGGCAGCCAGGGGAGGGAGAGAGGCGAAGUGCUGCCCAGCGCCUCAAAUGUCGCUGAGGAAUCAGGAGACACAGUUUCCUUCAGCUUAAAGAACUUACUUAGUUCCUUAAAGUCGAAUGAAUUCCUCAAGCACUGGAGAAACUUUUGCAAAAAUAUCCAGAGCCCAGACCAGUGCUUGGCGUGCAGCACACACUCCAUGAACGGCGUGGAGUGCGGACGCAGAGCACUGUUUCU
Molecule: long non-coding RNA, 3198 nt
Filed under: Equus caballus (horse)
Lineage: Eukaryota; Metazoa; Chordata; Mammalia; Perissodactyla; Equidae
Description: lncRNA (ENSECAG00000047112.1)
Source: RNAcentral